GGAAAUCUCACCACAGAUCUGGUUAACGAACCGGGUGGACAUCAUAAAGGAGGGUGGAGACUCUUUAUACUAACUUGAAUGAGACAAAAGCAGUGGUGUUAGUUUAUAAGCCUGAUGCAUUUCAGUAAUAAUGUAGAUGGCUUGUAAAUGAUUUGUAUGUGAUACUGUCCACUAAAAUCACUUAACAAUUCUACAAUCAGCUUCUGCCUGCCGCUUGCUCUCUGCCAGAAUAACAUCGAAUUAGAAUCUCCUCAUCUCUUGCUUGUUAGCGAUGUCUGAUUAUCUUAUGUACAUGUACUCUCAUUUGGGUUUUUGUAAUCAUCCUUUUCAAACCAAAAUUUUAGAAUCCCUUUUUUUCUUCCUGUUUUGCUGUCGUCACGGGUGAUCCUCA
RNAcentral lists this long non-coding RNA (391 nucleotides) under Bos taurus (domestic cattle). RNAcentral's name for it is "long non-coding RNA NONBTAT025110". Lineage: Eukaryota; Metazoa; Chordata; Mammalia; Artiodactyla; Bovidae. The record is from RNAcentral.